AUGUCAGCAGUUCGAGUCCACUCAUCUUGAGCCCGUGAACUUAGUGCACACAUUGGUAGCACCAAAUUUUGUCGAGUCGGCAUUUUUAUCUACAGUUUCUUAUUUCUGGACUUCCAUAAGAUCCUUGCAUGUAGUAGCAACUUAUGAUGGCAUAGCCUUAACAUUAACGGCCAAGUUCAUAAGAGGAAAGACUUGCGAUGGAUACCUAGACACCCAGUAAUGAGGGGUGUAGCAAGUUACGAAAUGCUUCGGGCUAUUGAAAAUAAGCAUAGAUCCAGAGUUUCUAAAAUAGGACAACCUUAUAUACUGAAUGUUGAAUGCAUGAGUAGGCAAGAGACAACAUGGCGAAAUGAAACAUCUUUGUAG
Molecule: ribosomal RNA, 366 nt
Filed under: Triticum aestivum (bread wheat)
Lineage: Eukaryota; Viridiplantae; Streptophyta; Magnoliopsida; Poales; Poaceae
Description: partial small subunit ribosomal RNA
Rfam family: Bacterial large subunit ribosomal RNA (bases 175-366)
Source: RNAcentral